Molecule: long non-coding RNA, 2423 nt
Filed under: Olea europaea subsp. europaea
Lineage: Eukaryota; Viridiplantae; Streptophyta; Magnoliopsida; Lamiales; Oleaceae
Source: RNAcentral
CAUUUAGUAAAGUUAUUUAUGGCGUGCAAAGGAUGCACGCCGUAUUAAGCCACUAUUUACGGCGUGCAUCUGUUGCACACCGUGUUUGGUUUUUUACGAUGUGCAAUAAGCUGUCCUAAGAAACCCAAUUAAACACGAUAUUUUGCUCCCAUUCGUAAGUUCUCCCCUUUCGGUUCGCUGCGCCUCUUGCCGUUCUUUUUCCCCAUCGACCCUGCGCUUCCAGUGCUGCCACCAGUCCACCGCAGCCACUCUCCUCGACUUCGCUCAGUGCCUCAACUCUCACUCUCCGCCUUCCACCGCCAACCACAGGCGCCAGCUCUCACUCGCGUCGCUCGCCUCUCAGGACCCAAAUCAAAAUAUUUCUAUAAAGUAAGGAUUCUUCAAAUUAAUACCCGCCCCUGUCUUGAUAGGGGUCUAGUUUCUAGAAGGAAUUGUAUGAUUUGAGCUAUUGAAUCAGUUAGCAUGAAUCAGAUUAAUACCUAAAAUCGAGUAUUGUUUGGCAAUUUCCUAAUUCGUAUCAUUCAACUUGAUAAUGAAAUUAAUUUUCGUAUUAUUGCAUUUUUCUAUAUGGAGUUUGAAAUAUGUUCCUUUGUUGAUGAAAUUUUUGAUUUUGAGUGUUUUUUAGGUUAUACUUUGGUUGUAAAUGUUGGCUGUGUUGUUUGAUUUUUGAAUGAAUUAAAUUUAGGUGUUUUCAGUUAUAUCUCAUUUUUGUUUGGCAUUGUAUAGAUGUGUAUAUUUAUAAACUCCAGUGAUUAAGUCCCCUUUAUGAUUUGAUUUUUUCUUUACAAUUGUGUUUCUAUUUGCUGGAGAAUAGGAGACAAAAUUAGAUAAUUGCUUUAUGUUUUCUGUUUUAUGCUAUUCCUUGUUACGGGAAUUUUUUUAUAGUAGUUCCUUGUGAUGAAACUUUUGAGUAAAAGGCCUUUCUUUUACUUACUCUUUGAUAUUGGUUUGUAUAUAAUUGAGGUAAGAAUCACCUUGAGAAGCUUUUCUUAACCAUGCUGCUCCCCACAGCAAUUCAUCCUAUCAAUUAAGAUUCAAUAGUAACUUGCCUGAUAUCCAUCAAAAUCACAGUAAAGCGGGCUUACAGCAUUCCUGAUAUUUGAGUUAUCACUAGUAAUAAUGGAAUUUCAGCAUUUUUUUGGCUAAGAACCUUUCAAGUACACUUUGGACCCCAUGCUUGAAUAUAUUCUAGACAUCCAUUUUCUUGUUCAAAUGAUGUUCCAAAUACAAUUUAAUGCUAUUGGCUAGAGUUGGUCCUUUCUGUGUGAUUCUGGUCCUUGAAAUCAACUAGUGAUUUUUUUUAUCAUUUAAAGCUUAUAUUAGGUAAUUUUAGCUCAUUAAUGUAUUUCUUCAUAUCAGAAUAAAAUAAAAGCAUAUUCAGCUCUGAUGCCCUCUCCAAGCAAACACUCACUUGAAGGUGAUGAUGUUGCAAAAGUACUUGGUCUAGAACGUCCAGGACGAGUAAGAGGUCUUGGUUUCGGUGCGACUCCUUCAAAGUUGAAUGCUUUGGUGUACAAUCAUAACUUGCAAACUCAAGUUCAAGAGUUGAGGAACGAAAUUAAAGAAUUAAAAGCUCUGUUUCAAGUGAAGGGUAAAAGUACUGAACAAGAAGAUAAUGUAAGUGGAAAUCUAGAAUCAAUGAAUGUUAUUUUACAUUACAUAUAUUUUCUAUAUUCAAAAUAAUAAAUUGUACAAGUGGAUAUUAAUUUUACAGUCUAGAGGCAGAAGAUUGAAUGAUUUAGAUAACCUUCAAAAUAAGAAGUGCAAAUUGUUAUCUUGGUUUGAGAAAGCUGAUAUUGUUGCAAAAUGUGAAAUUGCAUCAAUAAAUCCAAAUGAUCUAGUGCAUCAUGUACCCCUUGGUAAUGAAUGUUGGAGAGUUUGGGUUAAUGAAGUGAUCGAUAAUGUUAGCUUAUAUCAUCCCACGCGUGAGCUUUUUCUUCUGGAAGAUGUAUUAGGAAGUACAAUUGCAUGGCCAAGUAGGUAUAUCGAAGUGGAUUCCCUGUAAUCACAACGAAGAUAUGCUUAAUUUCUUUUUUAUUUUAAUUCCAUUUACCUUUAUGUUCGGUCUCUAUUGAAGAUUGUGUUGUUUAAUAUAUUUUUGAUUUGGAUGCUUAUUAAUUAUAUCCUUAUUAUUUUCGUGGUGUGCAGGGGAUCCAUAUUUCGUGGAGUAGCUAAAUUGUCAGUCAAAGAAGUGAACUUUGAUAGGUUUAAUAAUUUUUUGUUAUAUGACGGAACCUCAAUAUCCACGGGCUUAUUAGUUGAAUGGCGAUUGGCGCAUACAACAGUAGUCGAAUAUUUUUGAGAAUUGUUUAGAUGAAUUUUACAUUGGCAUAUUUUAUUGAACCGUAGUCAAUAUUUCUUUUUAUAGAAACAAUGGAAAACUUGAUUAUAUAUGGAGUAAUUUUUUUUUGUUAAUAUUACAG